AGUUUCAUUUGCGUUGGUCGCUGGUCGAUUUCUCCCCGCCGCAGCGUCCCGUUGAAGUGAGGGCUUUUGGAACACGUCUCCGGCAUCGACCCAUCAGGAUACUAAAUUGUGGAGACAAAGGCGUGCAGUGUGAAUUCAGGAUAAGCAGACUUGAGUUUAACGGAAGGUUAUGGCAAAAACUCAACAAGGUGUCGUAGGAGGGUCCCAAGAUCCGACUGGUUCGCCCGUAAGACUUGUUACCCGGGCA
This is a long non-coding RNA of Andrographis paniculata, 247 nucleotides long. RefSeq lists it as uncharacterized. The transcript has 3 exons. NCBI's taxonomy places the organism in Eukaryota, Viridiplantae, Streptophyta, Magnoliopsida, Lamiales, Acanthaceae. The record is from RefSeq and is a predicted model, not a curated record.